RNAcentral lists this non-coding RNA (25 nucleotides) under Mus musculus (house mouse). The record is from RNAcentral. Lineage: Eukaryota; Metazoa; Chordata; Mammalia; Rodentia; Muridae.
UACUGUCACCACCAUCUCAGAAGCU